GUAAUUUUUCAUAUUCACUUAAAGUAUUUCUUUUAUGUAUGUUAAUUGUACAGGGUGGGAGCUUCAGCCCACUAUCGUCAAUAAUAAAAAUACUAUUCAUAUCUUGCAGUGAUGUUUCAUUACUCAUCCUUUUUUCUUGAUUUAAUUUAAAUGCUCUAGGUAUUUCACCUGACUCAACAUGAUGCCUGCAAUAUUUACACUGUCAAAGGGUUUUUUACAAUCUUUAUAAAUAACAAUACCUUACAUAGAUUCAACAGUGCUAUAUUAAACUCAAUAUUUAUGCGAAAACGACGUUAAGGUUGAAUAACCAAGACCCGCUUGAGAAUAAGAUCACACUGAUAAAAAAAGGGCGAUACAUUAAAUGUAUCGCCCUUUUUGUACCUAAA
RNAcentral lists this unclassified non-coding RNA (386 nucleotides) under Moritella viscosa. Its description in RNAcentral is "putative sRNA". The record is from RNAcentral. Lineage: Bacteria; Pseudomonadati; Pseudomonadota; Gammaproteobacteria; Alteromonadales; Moritellaceae.